Molecule: unclassified non-coding RNA, 332 nt
Filed under: soil metagenome
Description: partial contains 5.8S ribosomal RNA, internal transcribed spacer 2, and large subunit ribosomal RNA
Rfam family: 5.8S ribosomal RNA (bases 1-120)
Source: RNAcentral
GAUGAAGAACGUAGCGAAAUGCGGUAAGUAGUGUGAAUUGCAGAAUUCAGUGAAUCAUCGAAUCUUUGAACGCACAUUGCGCCCUUUGGUAUUCCUUAGGGCAUGCCUGUUCGAGCGUCAUUUAAACCUUCAAGCUAAGCUUGGUGUUGGGUGACUGUCCGCUUCACGGCGGACUCGCCUCAAAAUUAUUGGCGGCCGGUACAUUGGCUUCGAGCGCAGCAGAAACGCGAACUCGGGCCCGUCGUAUUGGCUCCCAGAAGCUAUCUUCACAAUUUUGACCUCGGAUCAGGUAGGGAUACCCGCUGAACUUAUGCAUAUCAAUAAGCGGAGGA